Molecule: ribosomal RNA, 426 nt
Filed under: Candidatus Aminicenantota bacterium
Lineage: Bacteria; Candidatus Aminicenantota
Description: Candidatus Aminicenantes bacterium partial 23S ribosomal RNA
Rfam family: Bacterial large subunit ribosomal RNA
Source: RNAcentral
UAUCGACGGCCCUGUUUGGCACCUCGAUGUCGGCUCAUCGCAUCCUGGGGCUGAAGCCGGUCCCAAGGGUUGGGCUGUUCGCCCAUUAAAGCGGUACGUGAGCUGGGUUUAGAACGUCGCGAGACAGUUCGGUCCCUAUCCGCGGUAGGCGGAGGAAAUCUGAGAGGGCCUGUUCCUAGUACGAAAGGACCGGAAUGGACAAACCUCUAGUGUCCCAGUUGUCCCGUCAGGGGCAUCGCUGGGUAGCUACGUUUGGUUGAGAUAACCGCUGAAAGCAUAUAAGCGAGAAGCUCGCCUCAAGAUUAGAUUUCCCACUCCGAAAGGAGCUAAAGGUCCCUCGAAGACGACGAGGUUGAUAGGCUGGAAGUGUAAGUCCGGUAACGGAUUGAGCUAACCAGUACUAAUAGACCGUGAGGCUUGACCAUA